Molecule: non-coding RNA, 112 nt
Organism: Acanthosepion pharaonis
Lineage: Eukaryota; Metazoa; Mollusca; Cephalopoda; Sepiida; Sepiidae
Source: the annotation of a GenBank genome assembly
UAUGGUCAUAUCAAGUUGAAAUACUGGUUCCCGUAUGAUCACCAAAGUUAAGCAAUGUUGAGUCUGGUCAGUACCUACAUAAGUGCCUACUUGGGAAUAUCAGGUGCUGUAA